This 253-nucleotide ribosomal RNA is filed under the name uncultured bacterium. RNAcentral's name for it is "partial 16S ribosomal RNA". It matches the Rfam family "Bacterial small subunit ribosomal RNA", at positions 524 to 776 of the family's 1533-position model. The record is from RNAcentral.
UACAGAGGGUGCAAGCGUUGUUCGGAAUUACUGGGCGUAAAGCGAGUGUAGGCGGUCUGAAAAGUCGGGUGUGAAAGCCCUGGGCUCAACCCAGGAAGUGCACUCGAAACUGCCAGGCUAGAGUAUCGGAGAGGUUGGUGGAAUUCUCGGUGUAGAGGUGAAAUUCGUAGAUAUCGAGAGGAACACCGGUGGCGAAGGCGGCCAACUGGACGAAUACUGACGCUGAGACUCGAAAGCGUGGGGAGCAAACAGG